UAUUCUGCAAUCGGAGCGGCGCAAGGGUGCGUAACACGUGGGCAAUCUGCCGUGAAGUUUGGGAUAAUUCCGCGAAAGCGGGACUAAUACCGGAUGUGGCAACUGGGAGGCAUCUUCUGGUUGCUAAAGUUGGGGACCGCAAGGCCUGACGCUUCACGAUGAACCCGCGGCCUAUCAGCUAGUUGGUGAGGUAACGGCUCACCAAGGCAAAGACGGGUAGCUGGUCUGAGAGGACGACCAGCCACACUGGAACUGAGACACGGUCCAGACACCUACGGGUGGCAGCAGUCGAGAAUUUUUCACAAUGGGCGCAAGCCUGAUGGAGCGACGCCGCGUGGGGGAUGAAUGGCUUCGGCCCGUAAACCCCUGUCAUUCGCGAUCAAACGUUGGUAUUUAAAAGAUGCCAGCCUGAUAGUAGCGGAAGAGGAAGGGACGGCUAACUCUGUGCCAGCAGCCGCGGUAAUACAGAGGUCCCGAGCGUUGUUCGGAUUCACUGGGCGUAAAGGGUGCGUAGGUGGUGAGGUAAGUCGGAUGUGAAAGCUCGGAGCUCAACUCCGAAAUGGCAUUGGAAACUACCUUGCUUGAGGAUUGG
This 592-nucleotide ribosomal RNA is filed under the name uncultured Verrucomicrobiota bacterium. RNAcentral's name for it is "bacterial SSU rRNA". It matches the Rfam family "Bacterial small subunit ribosomal RNA", at positions 80 to 652 of the family's 1533-position model. The record is from RNAcentral. Lineage: Bacteria; Pseudomonadati; Verrucomicrobiota.